GACGAACGCUGGCGGCGUGCUUAACACAUGCAAGUCGAACGGAAAGGCCCUGCUUUUGUGGGGUGCUCGAGUGGCGAACGGGUGAGUAACACGUGAGUAACCUGCCCUUGACUUUGGGAUAACUUCAGGAAACUGGGGCUAAUACCGGAUAGGAGCUCCUGCUGCAUGGUGGGGGUUGGAAAGUUUCGGCGGUUGGGGAUGGACUCGCGGCUUAUCAGCUUGUUGGUGGGGUAGUGGCUUACCAAGGCUUUGACGGGUAGCCGGCCUGAGAGGGUGACCGGCCACAUUGGGACUGAGAUACGGCCCAGACUCCUACGGGAGACAGCGGUGGGGAAUAUUGCACAAUGGGCGGAAGCCUGAUGCAGCGACGCCGCGUGCGGGAUGACGGCCUUCGGGUUGUAAACCGCUUUCGCCUGUGACGAAGCGUGAGUGACGGUAAUGAGUAAAGAAGCACCGGCUAACUACGUG
RNAcentral lists this ribosomal RNA (468 nucleotides) under uncultured bacterium. RNAcentral describes it as "partial 16S ribosomal RNA". It matches the Rfam family "Bacterial small subunit ribosomal RNA", at positions 28 to 507 of the family's 1533-position model. The record is from RNAcentral.